This 469-nucleotide ribosomal RNA is filed under the name uncultured bacterium. Its description in RNAcentral is "partial 16S ribosomal RNA". It matches the Rfam family "Bacterial small subunit ribosomal RNA", at positions 28 to 508 of the family's 1533-position model. The record is from RNAcentral.
GACGAACGCUGGCGGCGUGCUUAACACAUGCAAGUCGAACGGAAAGGCCCUGCUUUUGUGGGGUGCUCGAGUGGCGAACGGGUGAGUAACACGUGAGUAACCUGCCCUUGACUUUGGGAUAACUUCAGGAAACUGGGGCUAAUACCGGAUAGGAGCUCCUGCUGCAUGGUGGGGGUUGGAAAGUUUCGGCGGUUGGGGAUGGACUCGCGGCUUAUCAGCUUGUUGGUGGGGUAGUGGCUUACCAAGGCUUUGACGGGUAGCCGGCCUGAGAGGGUGACCGGCCACAUUGGGGCUGAGAUACGGCCCAGACUCCUACGGGAGGCAGCAGUGGGGAAUAUUGCACAAUGGGCGGAAGCCUGAUGCAGCAACGCCGCGUGCGGGAUGACGGGCUUCGGGUUGUAAACCGCUUUCGCCUGUGACGAAGCGUGAGUGACGGUAAUGGGUAAAGAAGCACCGGCUAACUACGUGC